This 124-nucleotide small RNA is filed under the name Marmota monax (woodchuck). The record is from RNAcentral. Lineage: Eukaryota; Metazoa; Chordata; Mammalia; Rodentia; Sciuridae.
GCCGGGUGCAGUGGUGCAUGCCUGUAAUCCCAGAGGCUUGGAGGCUGAGGCAGGAGGAUUGAAAGUUGGAGGCCAGACUCAGCAAUGGUGAGGUGCUAAGCAACUUAGUGAGAUCCUGUCUCUA